RNAcentral lists this ribosomal RNA (1198 nucleotides) under uncultured bacterium. RNAcentral describes it as "bacterial SSU rRNA". It matches the Rfam family "Bacterial small subunit ribosomal RNA", at positions 307 to 1499 of the family's 1533-position model. The record is from RNAcentral.
GCCACACCGGGACUGAGACACGGCCCGGACUCCUACGGGAGGCAGCAGUGGGGAAUAUUGGACAAUGGGGGCAACCCUGAACCAGCCAUGCCGCGUGUGUGAAGAAGGCCUUUUGGUUUGUAAAGCACUUUAAGCAGUGAAGAAGACCUAACGGUUAAUACCCGUUAGCGAUGACAUUAGCUGCAGAAUAAGCACCGGCUAACUCUGUGCCAGCAGCCGCGGUAAUACAGAGGGUGCAAGCGUUAAUCGGAAUUACUGGGCGUAAAGCGAGCGUAGGUGGCUUGAUAAGUCAGAUGUGAAAUCCCCGGGCUUAACCUGGGAACUGCAUCUGAUACUGUUGGGCUAGAGUAGGUGAGAGGGAGGUAGAAUUUCAGUGUAGCGGUGAAAUGCGUAGAGAUCUGAAGGAAUACCGAUGGCGAAGGCAGCCUCCUGGCAUCAUACUGACACUGAGGUUCGAAAGCGUGGGUAGCAAACAGGAUUAGAUACCCUGGUAGUCCACGCCGUAAACGAUGUCUACUAGUCGUUGGGGAACUUGAUUCCUUAGUGACGCAGCUAACGCAAUAAGUAGACCGCCUGGGGAGUACGGCCGCAAGGUUAAAACUCAAAUGAAUUGACGGGGGCCCGCACAAGCGGUGGAGCAUGUGGUUUAAUUCGAUGCAACGCGAAGAACCUUACCUGGUCUUGACAUAUCUAGAAUCCUGCAGAGAUGCGGGAGUGCCUUCGGGAAUUAGAAUACAGGUGCUGCAUGGCUGUCGUCAGCUCGUGUCGUGAGAUGUUGGGUUAAGUCCCGCAACGAGCGCAACCCUUUUCCUUAGUUACCAGCGGUUUGGCCGGGGACUCUAAGGAUACUGCCAGUGACAAACUGGAGGAAGGCGGGGACGACGUCAAGUCAUCAUGGCCCUUACGACCAGGGCUACACACGUGCUACAAUGGUAGGUACAGAGGGCAGCUACACAGCGAUGUGAUGCGAAUCUCAAAAAGCCUAUCGUAGUCCAGAUUGGAGUCUGCAACUCGACUCCAUGAAGUAGGAAUCGCUAGUAAUCGCGGAUCAGAAUGCCGCGGUGAAUACGUUCCCGGGCCUUGUACACACCGCCCGUCACACCAUGGGAGUUGAUUGCACCAGAAGUGGGUAGCCUAACUUUUAGAGGGCGCUCACCACGGUGUGGUUGAUGACUGGGGUGAAGUCGUAACAAGGUAA